GCGUGUGGAAUGGAAGAAAAGCGAAACAAUAAAAACAAAUUCUCAAACUGGAGUGCCGAAAUUUUAAUCGUUUUGAUGUUGUGCUGAAUAUUCUUCUGAUUGAUAGAGAAUACUUAAUAAACAUAAGCCGAAAUGAAAGCGAUGACAUAUCCUGGUCUGUCGUGAACGCUGAGGUCAAAACUAGUUUUUUCCUAAUGGAUAUCUGCUGCAGGCAAUGGGCAGUGAAAGAGACAAUCCAUCAUGAUUUCCUCCACGUAACUUCGAGUGCAGUUUCAGCAGAAGGCGAAGCAGUAGACUGUUUUAUUCGAGAAUUUGCUGCCUGUUGGCUUCAAGGAAGAUCAUAGCCAAUGGCAUUUGAAGGGACCCGAUUUGUAUCACAUGAUAGGCAUGUUCCUGAAAACCAUGCAUUGGAUACGAAAUUUGUGUUAUAUUCCUGACCACCAAUAAAUGGAGCUAAGCGGAUCAAUAUGGAUCGGGAGAUCUAUCAUGAUAACCUCAAGGAUGAAAGCUCUCGUGGAAACAACGGGUCGGGUCGACAGUAUAAAAAUGUUAACCUUGCUUUAAUUUGAUUAAUAAAAUAAUUCAUGGUUGCAAAUUCAUUCUUGAUUUU
Long non-coding RNA from Armigeres subalbatus, 610 nucleotides. RefSeq lists it as uncharacterized. The transcript is spliced from 4 exons. NCBI's taxonomy places the organism in Eukaryota, Metazoa, Arthropoda, Insecta, Diptera, Culicidae. The record is from RefSeq and is a predicted model, not a curated record.